AAUGAUUGGAUUAUGGUAAUCUAAUUGAUUGUCUCUAUAGUAGAGAUAAUAUGGUGGUGUUAACUGUUUAGAACACAACGAUGCUUAAAACCCAAAAGGUUGCAAGGUAGUGACUAAUCCCAACUAAAGUUGUGAUACCUCUAAAAACAUAAAUUACAAGUUAGUCAUAGAUGGAUACUUAGGAUCGUUAGAUCCGGAUCCAAUGUCUUCUUGUUAAAAUUGUAUAGAGGCAAAAUGUUUGAAUCUUCAUUCUUUUGGAAAGAAGAAAGAAUCACAAAGUUGUUGAGGUUAAUUCACUUAGAUGUUAGUGGCACUUGUCCACAACAUAAUACUACUCAUGUUGUAUGACAUUCACCGAAGAUCACCCGGUUAGACUAUAGUUUAUUUUAAAUAAACACAAGUCCGAAUACUUUGCAAAAGGUUUCAAAGAAUUCAAGAAAUGUAAGUUGAUGAGUAAGACGUCUAAAGUAUUUACAUCCUUAGAUUUGAUCCAAGGAAUGGUAACACUUUAGAAUAGUUUUCUUGAAAGAUAUCAAGGAAAAUAGCAUCAUAAGAUAAUGUAUUUCUCCAUUUGGAGAAGAACAAACUCAAAUAAGAUUUAGUUCGUUAGAUGUUAUCUAUUACCCAUAUAUAGGAUAUA
This 640-nucleotide long non-coding RNA is filed under the name Malus domestica (apple). Its description in RNAcentral is "long non-coding RNA (MDOM_LNC019023)". Lineage: Eukaryota; Viridiplantae; Streptophyta; Magnoliopsida; Rosales; Rosaceae. The record is from RNAcentral.